This 76-nucleotide transfer RNA is filed under the name Eubacteriales Family XIII. Incertae Sedis bacterium. Its description in RNAcentral is "tRNA-Arg". It matches the Rfam family "tRNA". Rfam says of the family: Transfer RNA (tRNA) molecules are approximately 80 nucleotides in length. Their secondary structure includes four short double-helical elements and three loops (D, anti-codon, and T loops). Further hydrogen bonds mediate the characteristic L-shaped molecular structure. tRNAs have two regions of fundamental functional importance: the anti-codon, which is responsible for specific mRNA codon recognition, and the 3' end, to which the tRNAs corresponding amino acid is attached (by aminoacyl-tRNA synthetases). tRNAs cope with the degeneracy of the genetic code in two manners: having more than one tRNA (with a specific anti-codon) for a particular amino acid; and 'wobble' base-pairing, i.e. permitting non-standard base-pairing at the 3rd anti-codon position. The record is from RNAcentral. Lineage: Bacteria; Bacillati; Bacillota; Clostridia; Peptostreptococcales; Anaerovoracaceae.
GCCCGCGUAGCUCAGAGGAUAGAGCGUCGGUUUCCUAAACCGUGCGUCGGAUGUUCGAAUCAUCUCGCGGGUGCCA